Molecule: transfer RNA, 75 nt
Filed under: Thermotogota bacterium
Lineage: Bacteria; Thermotogati; Thermotogota
Description: Thermotogae bacterium tRNA-Trp
Rfam family: tRNA
About the family: Transfer RNA (tRNA) molecules are approximately 80 nucleotides in length. Their secondary structure includes four short double-helical elements and three loops (D, anti-codon, and T loops).
Source: RNAcentral
GGGCCGUAGCUCAAUUGGUAGAGCGCCGGUCUCCAAAAUCGGAGGUUGCAGGUUCGAGUCCUGCCGGCCCUGCCA